CCCGUAGCCAGCGGAUGCUGCUGGUUCCUAGGAGGCGUGACUUCGAGCAGUUAGAAAUUCUGUCAGACAAAAUCCUACCAGCUGAGGGAACAUACCUUGUGGCGGCGCACCAGGACUACAAAAGUCGAGUCCUCAAGAGGAGUGAUUAAGUAGGGUUCCUGGCACACCGUGAACAUGCAACAAUGGCGUUUAUAUCACAGUCAUUCAUAGAAUCGGUUUGGAGAGGGGAAUUUCCACUGAACUUUCAUAGGGAAACUGUUUUAGAUGACUGAGAAACUUCUGCUCCAUCAAACUAAAUUGUGUUUGCACAGAAGUUAGAAUUAGCUGUAAUCAGAGAGUACUGAUUGGACUAAGGAUAUUCCAAAACUAAGGAAAACAAUACCCCCCCCAAACAAACAAACAAAAACAACUACUAUGAAACUAUAAAGUUGAGGGACCAAUGAGAUGGCCCAGCAGGUAAAGGCACUCGCUUCCAAACCCGAGGACCACAGGAUGGAAGGACAGGACUCCUCAAGACUGCCCUCUGACCACGCAUUCACACUGGCAUAUAUGCACAUACACACAAAUAAUUAAUAAAUAAAUAAA
Long non-coding RNA from Peromyscus leucopus (white-footed mouse), 585 nucleotides. RefSeq lists it as uncharacterized. The record is from RefSeq and is a predicted model, not a curated record. The transcript has 2 exons. NCBI's taxonomy places the organism in Eukaryota, Metazoa, Chordata, Mammalia, Rodentia, Cricetidae.